UACGUAGGCAGCGAGCGUUGUUCGGAGUUACUGGGCGUAAAGGGUGCGUAGGCGGUUGUUUAAGUUUGGUGUGAAAUCUCCCGGCUCAACUGGGAGGGUGCGCCGAAUACUGAAUGACUAGAGUGCGGGAGAGGAGAGUGGAAUUCCUGGUGUAGCGGUGAAAUGCGUAGAUAUCGGGAGGAACACCUGUGGCGAAAGCGGCUCACUGGACCACAACUGACGCUGAGGCGCG
RNAcentral lists this ribosomal RNA (232 nucleotides) under uncultured bacterium. RNAcentral's name for it is "partial 16S ribosomal RNA". It matches the Rfam family "Bacterial small subunit ribosomal RNA", at positions 524 to 755 of the family's 1533-position model. The record is from RNAcentral.